AGAGUUUGAUCAUGGCUCAGAACGAACGCUGGCGGCAUGCCUAACACAUGCAAGUCGAACGAAGGCUUCGGCCUUAGUGGCGCACGGGUGCGUAACGCGUGGGAACCUGCCCCUCGGUUCGGAAUAACUCAGGGAAACUUGAGCUAAUACCGGAUGAUGACUUCGGUCCAAAGAUUUAUCGCCGAGGGAUGGGCCCGCGUAGGAUUAGCUUGUUGGUGGGGUAGUGGCCUACCAAGGCGACGACGGGUAGCCGGCCUGAGAGGGUGACCGGCCACACUGGGACUGAGACACGGCCCAGACUCCUACGGGAGGCAGCAGUGGGGAAUAUUGCGCAAUGGGCGGAAGCCUGACGCAGCAACACCGUGUGGGUGAUGAAGGCCUUCGGGUCGUAAAGCCCUGUUGAUAGGGACGAAGGGCGAAGGGUUAAUAGCCCGGAGCUUGACGGUACCUUUCGAGGAAGCCCCGGCUAACUACGUGCCAGCAGCCGCGGUAAUACGUAGGGGGCGAGCGUUGUCCGGAAUUAUUGGGCGUAAAGAGCGUGUAGGCGGUUCGGUAAGUCUGUCGUGAAAUCCUGGGGCUCAACCCUGGGCGUGCGAUGGAUACUGCCGGGCUAGAGGGUGGUAGAGGCGAGUGGAAUUCCCGGUGUAGCGGUGAAAUGCGCAGAUAUCGGGAGGAACACCAGUAGCGAAGGCGGCUCGCUGGGCCACACCUGACGCUGAGACGCGAAAGCUAGGGGAGCGAACAGGAUUAGAUACCCCGGUAGUCC
Molecule: ribosomal RNA, 766 nt
Filed under: uncultured Rubrobacter sp.
Lineage: Bacteria; Bacillati; Actinomycetota; Rubrobacteria; Rubrobacterales; Rubrobacteraceae
Description: bacterial SSU rRNA
Rfam family: Bacterial small subunit ribosomal RNA
Source: RNAcentral